CUAGAAAUAUUUUAAUAAAAAUGUGGGUUUUGGGGAUCUUCGAUUCUCUUUGUCUUGUGGAGGUUUUUAGU
This 71-nucleotide transfer RNA is filed under the name Obrimoposthia wandeli. RNAcentral describes it as "tRNA-Pro". The record is from RNAcentral. Lineage: Eukaryota; Metazoa; Platyhelminthes; Tricladida; Uteriporidae.